This 507-nucleotide ribosomal RNA is filed under the name Triticum aestivum (bread wheat). RNAcentral describes it as "partial small subunit ribosomal RNA". The record is from RNAcentral. Lineage: Eukaryota; Viridiplantae; Streptophyta; Magnoliopsida; Poales; Poaceae.
AUGCAUCACGACGAGCGGCAGAGCUUCAUAUCUGCAACGGGGACAAGAGAAAAGCUACGACAGAUGAGGGAAAAAGCUACAACCAGUGUUUUUUUCUUGUCACCGAUGUGUGGUUUUCUUUCACUGGGACGUACGACCUAUGGUGGCGGACGGCGGCGCCGGCAACACGGUGAUGGCUCGAGGUUGCAACCAUUGUCAUUGUUGCUACUACGGUGCACACGAAUUGAUACAUCCGUUGUCUGUUUUGGCUACUACCAUGAAUGCACAGUCAACAGAUUUUUUUCUUACGUUCGACGGCAGCGAAUCGUCGGGGCGAGAUUCGACGGCGAGCAUUGGGGCCAGUGCGGCGACCCGUGGCGACGGGCCAGGGCCGGUCCUGAUAUUUCAGGGGCCCGUGGCGAAAUUACAACCCGGGGCCUCUACUAUAUAAAGAUAAAAGUAAUAAUCUCGUUUCUUUUUAGAUUCAUUCCUUUACCUAACUUAUUAUUGUCUAUUGUUCCAAAAUAA